Daphnia pulex (common water flea) is the source of this 1084-nucleotide long non-coding RNA. RefSeq lists it as uncharacterized. Lineage: Eukaryota; Metazoa; Arthropoda; Branchiopoda; Diplostraca; Daphniidae. The record is from RefSeq and is a predicted model, not a curated record. The transcript is spliced from 3 exons.
CAGUUGUCAGAUGUCAGUGAUUGAUUGUUGACAACGGAAAAGGUGAUGAUUUUUCAUUUUCGUGGUUUUUUAUUCACGACUUUGUUAAUGGACUAUUUGGACAUACUGGAACCAUAUUGAUUUCUGAAACUCAUCAGGAGGUUGUGGUGGGAGUGUCAAAUCACCAGACCACAAGAAGUAUUUUAAAUUGCAAGAAUGAACAAAGAACUUAAUGUGGGUGAAUUUGGUGAACUUGGUGAACUUCCAGAUUACAAUGAAUGAAUGGUGAUGGCAACGAAAAGUUCAGCAACGGGCAAAGGAUAAAACAGCAACAAUUGGACGUCAGAAUAUUCGUUCAUCAACAAACAAGAGAAGGGAAAUAUUUUGGAUUUCAACAUUCGUUUCUGUUUUCAUUACUGCAGCGUUUUCGCGUCUACAUUUUCUCCAACAGUCGCGACUCGAUUGAAAAUAAAUGACAACGCCAACGUUCUUCGCAUUCAAGGAACGUUCAUAUAAAUAAAGAGUUUCGACAUCUUUUCCCCACAUUUUCUAUUUUUCUUCAGUGUGGUUUUUGUCCAUUGUCGUGUUUCGCCUUUUCCGGCGUGGAAUGGAUCUGUGAAUCGACGCCGAUCUCCGCCUACACGUCCACUACUCCAUUCCCUUCCCAGUCGCUUUCCAUUUUUCGUGUGGAGAAAACAAAAUACUCUGCUGUCUUUAUGUUGUUCUUGUUCACAUCACAGUUUUAUAAAAAAUUAUUCCCUUGUAAUGAAAAUAAUUUUUGAUAAAAUUCCCCGAAAUAUUGAUUUGGAGGGGAGCAGAGUCGACUGCGGUAUAAUGGCGCACCGGGACUUUAUAACGAUAUUUUGGCCAAAGAUAUUCCGGUUAUAACUUUGGGGAUAGCGCUGUAGUUUCCAGCCGUCUUGAAAGACAAGUAAAACUUGGCAAGAACUGAUAUACCACAAUCGAAUUUGAUAGGACUUUUUCCUCAACCCUCUUUUGAAUAACAUGUCGCUUAUAAUUACGUAUAUGACAAUAAUUGUGAAAUGCAUCUCAUCAAUAACACCGAAAAACGUCAAGAAUAUCUAUGAUUGUUAUUUACCUGGUG